GGGGAUUUAGCUCAGUGACAUAAGCGCCUGCCUUGCAAGCAGGCAGUUGUGAGUUCAAUCCCUG
RNAcentral lists this transfer RNA (64 nucleotides) under Cavia porcellus (domestic guinea pig). It matches the Rfam family "tRNA". Rfam says of the family: Transfer RNA (tRNA) molecules are approximately 80 nucleotides in length. Their secondary structure includes four short double-helical elements and three loops (D, anti-codon, and T loops). Lineage: Eukaryota; Metazoa; Chordata; Mammalia; Rodentia; Caviidae. The record is from Rfam by way of RNAcentral.